GCUUGUCAAACAAAACAAAAAGUAAUGAAAAUGAAAAAAUGGUAUUAUUGUGGAUUGAUGAAGAAAAAAUUUAACAUUGAAUAUUGUGGAUUCACUAUUAUUCGUUGGAUAUCAAUUUUUGUGGGUUUCAUGGGUAAAGGUAAACCACGAAUUUCAAUGUUCCAUGAAUGACAAACUUUAAUUAAGGCUUGUAAAAGGACUUUGGCAAAACCAGUAAGUUAAAUUUCCACGAAA
Molecule: long non-coding RNA, 234 nt
Filed under: Mytilus galloprovincialis (Mediterranean mussel)
Lineage: Eukaryota; Metazoa; Mollusca; Bivalvia; Mytilida; Mytilidae
Source: RNAcentral